AACGGCCGCGGUAUAUUGACCGUGCAAAGGUAGCAUAAUCAUUAGUCUUUUAAUAGGAGGCUGGAAUGAAAGGUUUGACGAGGAAUUGACUGUCUCAUUUUAUUUGUAUUAAAAUUUAAUUUUUUGGUCAAAAAGCUAAAAUUUUAUUGGAAGACGAGAAGACCCUAUAGAUCUUUAUAUAGUUGAAUUUAAUCAGUUUUAUAUUAUUAUGAUUAUUGUUGACUGUAUUUUAUUGGGGUGAUAAAAAUAUAUGAUUAACUUUUUUAUUUAUUUUACAUUGAUUUAUGUAUAUUAGAUCUUUUAUUAUUGAUUGUUAGAUUAAGUUACCUUAGGGAUAACAGCGUAAUCCUCUUCCAGAGUUCAUAUUUACAAGAGGGCUUGCGACCUCGAUGUUGGAUUAAGAUAAUAAUUAGGUGUAGCUGCUUAAUUGAUAGGUCUGUUCGAC
RNAcentral lists this ribosomal RNA (445 nucleotides) under Perithemis intensa. RNAcentral's name for it is "partial 16S ribosomal RNA". It matches the Rfam family "Bacterial large subunit ribosomal RNA", at positions 1926 to 2585 of the family's 2925-position model. Lineage: Eukaryota; Metazoa; Arthropoda; Insecta; Odonata; Libellulidae. The record is from RNAcentral.